UACGUAGGGGGCAAGCGUUGUCCGGAUUUAUUGGGCGUAAAGAGCGUGUAGGCGGUUAGGUAGGUCCGUUGUGAAAACUCGAGGCUCAACCUCGAGACGCCGAUGGAAACCAUCUAACUAGAGUCCGGAAGAGGAGAGUGGAAUUCCGCGUGUAGCAGUGAAAUGCGUAGAUAUGCGGAGGAACACCGAUGGCGAAGGCAAUCCCCUGGGCCUGCACUGACGCUCAUGCACGAAAGCGUGGGGAGCAAACAGG
Molecule: ribosomal RNA, 253 nt
Filed under: uncultured bacterium
Lineage: Bacteria
Description: partial 16S ribosomal RNA
Rfam family: Bacterial small subunit ribosomal RNA
Source: RNAcentral